This 460-nucleotide ribosomal RNA is filed under the name uncultured bacterium. Its description in RNAcentral is "partial 16S ribosomal RNA". It matches the Rfam family "Bacterial small subunit ribosomal RNA", at positions 338 to 795 of the family's 1533-position model. The record is from RNAcentral.
CCUACGGGAGGCUGCAGUGAGGAAUAUUGGUCAAUGGGCGCGAGCCUGAACCAGCCAAGUCGCGUGAGGGAAGACGGCCCUACGGGUUGUAAACCUCUUUUGCCGGGGAGCAACGGGCGCCACGUGUGGCGCCACUGAGAGUACCCGGAGAAAAAGCAUCGGCUAACUCCGUGCCAGCAGCCGCGGUAAUACGGAGGAUGCGAGCGUUAUCCGGAUUUAGUGGGUUAAAGGGUUUCGUAGGCGGAGCGUUAAGUCAGUGGUAAAAUGGAGGGGCUCAACCCCUUCCCGCCAUUGAAACUGGCGCUCUUGAGUGGAAGAGAAGUAUGCGGAAUGCGUGGUGUAGCGGUGAAAUGCAUAGAGAUCACGCAGAACCCCGAUUGCGAAGGCAGCAUGCCGGCUUCCGACUGACGCUGAAGCACGAAAGCGUGGGGAUCGAACAGGAUUAGAUACCCCGGUAGUC